This 460-nucleotide ribosomal RNA is filed under the name uncultured bacterium. RNAcentral's name for it is "partial 16S ribosomal RNA". It matches the Rfam family "Bacterial small subunit ribosomal RNA", at positions 338 to 795 of the family's 1533-position model. The record is from RNAcentral.
CCUACGGGCGGCAGCAGUGAGGAAUAUUGGUCAAUGGACGAGAGUCUGAACCAGCCAAGUAGCGUGAAGGAUGACUGCCCUAUGGGUUGUAAACUUCUUUUAUAUGGGAAUAAAAUGUUCCACGUGUGGGAUUUUGUAUGUACCAUAUGAAUAAAGAUCGGCUAACUCCGUGCCAGCAGCCGCGGUAAUACGGAGGAUACGAGCGUUAUCCGGAUUUAUUGGGUUUAAAGGGAGCGUAGGUGGAUUGUUAAGUCAGUUGUGAAAGUUUGCGGCUCAACCGUAAAAUUGCAGUUGAAACUGGCAGUCGUGAGUACAGUAGAGGUGGGCGGAAUUCGUGGUGUAGCGGUGAAAUGCUUAGAUAUCACGAAGAACUCCGAUUGCGAAGGCAGCUCACUGGACUGCAACUGACACUGAGGCUCGAAAGUGUGGGUAUCAAACAGGAUUAGAUACCCCGGUAGUC